CAGAAACUACAAAGGAAUUGACGGGGCCCGGCACAAGCGGUGGAGUAUGUGGUUAAUUCGAUGCAACGCGAAGAACCUUACCUGGUCUUGACAUCCCGGAGACCCUUAGGAAACUAGGGGGUGCUUCCAUCUGGAAGAAUCUGGAGACAGGUGCUGCAUGGCUGUCGUCAGCUCGUGUCGUGAGAUGUUGGGUUAAGUCCCGCAACGAGCGCAACCCUUGCCUUUAGUUGCCAGCAGUUCGGCUGGGCACUCUAAAGGGACUGCCGGUGUUAAACCGGAGGAAGGUGGGGAUGACGUCAAGUCCUCAUGGCCUUUAUGACCAGGGCUACACACGUACUACAAUGGCCGAUACAAAGGGCAGCGACACUGCGAGGUGAAGCCAAUCCCGUAAAAUCGGUCUCAGUCCGGAUUGGAGUCUGCAACUCGACUCCAUGAAGUUGGAAUCGCUAGUAAUCGUGGAUCAGCAUGCCACGGUGAAUACGUUCCCGGGCCUU
RNAcentral lists this ribosomal RNA (494 nucleotides) under uncultured Desulfobulbus sp. Its description in RNAcentral is "bacterial SSU rRNA". It matches the Rfam family "Bacterial small subunit ribosomal RNA", at positions 894 to 1382 of the family's 1533-position model. Lineage: Bacteria; Pseudomonadati; Thermodesulfobacteriota; Desulfobulbia; Desulfobulbales; Desulfobulbaceae. The record is from RNAcentral.